Molecule: ribosomal RNA, 301 nt
Filed under: uncultured bacterium
Lineage: Bacteria
Description: partial 16S ribosomal RNA
Rfam family: Bacterial small subunit ribosomal RNA
Source: RNAcentral
CAGUAGCCACGGUAAUACAGAGGGUGCGAGCGUUAAUCGGAUUUACUGGGCGUAAAGCGUGCGUAGGCGGCUUCUUAAGUCGGAUGUGAAAUCCCUGAGCUUAACUUAGGAAUUGCAUUCGAUACUGGGAAGCUAGAGUAUGGGAGAGGAUGGUAGAAUUCCAGGUGUAGCGGUGAAAUGCGUAGAGAUCUGGAGGAAUACCGGUGGCGAAGGCGGCCCCCUGGACAAAGACUGACGCUCAGGUGCGAAAGCGUGGGGAGCAAACAGGAUUAGAUACCCGCGUAGUCCCUGUCUCUUAUAC